Molecule: transfer RNA, 110 nt
Filed under: Candidatus Pacearchaeota archaeon ex4484_26
Lineage: Archaea; Nanobdellati
Description: tRNA-Val
Rfam family: tRNA
About the family: Transfer RNA (tRNA) molecules are approximately 80 nucleotides in length.
Source: RNAcentral
GGGCCUGUGGUCUAGUGGUUAACUUUCCUAAAGUUUAAUUGCUUUGGAAGUCCACAGAUGACGCUGCCCUUACAAGGCAGAGAUCCUCGGUUCAAAUCCGAGCAGGCCCA